This 247-nucleotide long non-coding RNA is filed under the name Mytilus galloprovincialis (Mediterranean mussel). The record is from RNAcentral. Lineage: Eukaryota; Metazoa; Mollusca; Bivalvia; Mytilida; Mytilidae.
CUUAAAAAUAAAGUACAUACAAGUUUCUAUUCUAGUUCCCUGGUUUCCAUAUCGGAUUUUUUCCAUACACCAUUGUCCUGUUUCUUUUACGUUUUCUUUCCCGCAUUAUACAAGAAAAGAUACAACGAAAAUCACCAGUGCAGAGCAACCAAGCUCAAGCUAGCAGCCACUUGCAGAACAACGCAACAAGAUACACCACAUCACUAAUCUUGAAUCAAGGCAAUUAAAAAAGAAGCACAGAAAAAAA